Molecule: long non-coding RNA, 653 nt
Filed under: Lynx pardinus (Iberian lynx)
Lineage: Eukaryota; Metazoa; Chordata; Mammalia; Carnivora; Felidae
Source: RNAcentral
UGACUAAGUGAAAUGUAAUCAACACCAUCUUACCUAAUGAAACCCGUCUUUGGUCGGUGGCUGAGACGCCAUCUGUAGGCAGUGAAAUCUUUCCAGCCUAUGUGACGAGGGUCAUGCCACAGAGUGCGCACCUGAAGGAAAAGGAAAAGGUUGAAACAUGGCUGAAUCAAGAUUUCUAUUUCAUUCUAUAGGAAGGAGUACUUGAAGGGUACCAAAUGGGCCUAAAUUAGAGGGCUGCAAUGUUGGAUUUUUUCCAAGACCUUUCACUUGAUGUGUGGCCUUGAAUCAAGGAAUCAUGUUGUGUUUCCUUGAAACACAGGAAGCAGAAAGAGGAAGGAAAGUUUUGUUUGAAGAGGCUGAAACGGUCUUUGGAUUUGAAGGGAACUCUUGGUUACAGGGAGCUCCCCUCUCAGAGGCCGCCAUUUGGUUUUUACAAAGCAAAACUUAAUGCUGGGGUUGCUGGGGCCGGGAACUUGAUAUCUAAGACUGCCUGGGGCUAGUCUUGGCCAAAGCACAGGGUCCCUAGUGCUUGUCCAGCACCUUCCUCGGGGGCCUUGUUCUCACCUGGCCAGGGGUGUUUCCCGUGUGCCACAGGGCGUUCCGUAGGUGCUCGCCUGGCCCUGUUGUGGAGUUCACCACUUUCACAGAAAGGC